UGCUCCCUGAAGUCAGCGGCGGACGGGUGAGUAACACGUGGGCAACCUGCCUGUAAGACUGGGAUAACUCCGGGAAACCGGGGCUAAUACCGGAUAAUUCUUUCCCUCACAUGAGGGAAAGCUGAAAGAUGGUUUCGGCUAUCACUUACAGAUGGGCCCGCGGCGCAUUAGCUAGUUGGUGAGGUAACGGCUCACCAAGGCAACGAUGCGUAGCCGACCUGAGAGGGUGAUCGGCCACACUGGGACUGAGACACGGCCCAGACUCCUACGGGAGGCAGCAGUAGGGAAUCUUCCGCAAUGGACGAAAGUCUGACGGAGCAACGCCGCGUGAGUGAUGAAGGUUUUCGGAUCGUAAAACUCUGUUGUUAGGGAAGAACAAGUACCGGAGUAACUGCCGGUACCUUGACGGUACCUAACCAGAAAGCCACGGCUAACUACGUGCCAGCAGCCGCGGUAAUACGUAGGUGGCAAGCGUUGUCCGGAAUUAUUGGGCGUAAAGCGCGCGCAGGCGGUUCCUUAAGUCUGAUGUGAAAGCCCCCGGCUCAACCGGGGAGGGUCAUUGGAAACUGGGGAACUUGAGUGCAGAAGAGAAGAGUGGAAUUCCACGUGUAGCGGUGAAAUGCGUAGAGAUGUGGAGGAACACCAGUGGCGAAGGCGACUCUUUGGUCUGUAACUGACGCUGAGGCGCGAAAGCGUGGGGAGCAAACAGGAUUAGAUACCCUGGUAGUCCACGCCGUAAACGAUGAGUGCUAAGUGUUAGAGGGUUUCCGCCCUUUAGUGCUGCAGCAAACGCAUUAAGCACUCCGCCUGGGGAGUACGGCCGCAAGG
Molecule: ribosomal RNA, 828 nt
Filed under: Bacillus sp. N113
Lineage: Bacteria; Bacillati; Bacillota; Bacilli; Caryophanales; Bacillaceae
Description: bacterial SSU rRNA
Rfam family: Bacterial small subunit ribosomal RNA
Source: RNAcentral